This 123-nucleotide small RNA is filed under the name Ferroacidibacillus organovorans. Its description in RNAcentral is "Acidibacillus ferrooxidans c-di-AMP sequence". It matches the Rfam family "c-di-AMP riboswitch aptamer (ydaO/yuaA leader)". From Rfam's summary of the family: This family represents a conserved RNA structure found upstream of the ydaO and yuaA genes in Bacillus subtilis and related genes in other bacteria. The ydaO/yuaA element is thought to act as a genetic "off" switch for the ydaO and yuaA genes in its native state. The record is from RNAcentral. Lineage: Bacteria; Bacillati; Bacillota; Bacilli; Caryophanales; Alicyclobacillaceae.
UACACAACAACGCCGAAUCCUGAUAAAGGUACGGGGGACAACUCUUGGGGUGAAUGUGCUUGCACUAGGGCAAUCCCUGCCCGAACCCGUCAACUAACCUCGGAGGCAUAAGGGGGACACCAU